This 486-nucleotide ribosomal RNA is filed under the name uncultured bacterium. Its description in RNAcentral is "partial 16S ribosomal RNA". It matches the Rfam family "Bacterial small subunit ribosomal RNA", at positions 30 to 507 of the family's 1533-position model. The record is from RNAcentral.
AUUGAACGCUGGCGGCAUGCCUUACACAUGCAAGUCGAACGGCAGCACGGGUGCUUGCACCUGUUGGCGAGUGGCGAACGGGUGAGUAAUACAUCGGAACAUGUCCUGUAGUGGGGGAUAGCCCGGCGAAAGCCGGAUUAAUACCGCAUACGAUCUACGGAUGACAGCGGGGGACCUUCGGGCCUCGCGCUAUAGGGGUGGCCGAUGGCUGAUUAGCUAGUUGGUGGGGUAAAGGCCUACCAAGGCGACGAUCAGUAGCUGGUCUGAGAGGACGACCAGCCACACUGGGACUGAGACACGGACCAGACUACUACGGGAGGCAGCAGUGGGGAACUUUGGACAAUGGGGGAAAGCCUGAUCCAGCAAUGCGGCGUGUGUGAAGAAGGCCUUCGGGUUGUAAAGCACUUUUGUCCGGAAAGAAAUCCUUGGCCCUAAUACGGUCGGGGGAUGACGGUACCGGAAGAAUAAGCACCGGCUAACUACGUG